AGCGUUGCUCGGAAUCACUGGGCGUAAAGAGCACGUAGGCGGAUUCUUAAGUCGGUGGUGAAAUCCUGGAGCUCAACUCCAGAACUGCCUUCGAUACUGAGAGUCUUGAGUUCGGGAGAGGUGAGUGGAACUGCGAGUGUAGAGGUGAAAUUCGUAGAUAUUCGCAAGAACACCAGUGGCGAAGGCGGCUCACUGGCCCGAUACUGACGCUGAGGUGCGAAAGCGUGGGGAGCAAACAGG
RNAcentral lists this ribosomal RNA (240 nucleotides) under uncultured bacterium. Its description in RNAcentral is "partial 16S ribosomal RNA". It matches the Rfam family "Bacterial small subunit ribosomal RNA", at positions 537 to 776 of the family's 1533-position model. The record is from RNAcentral.